This is a long non-coding RNA of Mobula hypostoma (lesser devil ray), 990 nucleotides long. RefSeq lists it as uncharacterized. The record is from RefSeq and is a predicted model, not a curated record. NCBI's taxonomy places the organism in Eukaryota, Metazoa, Chordata, Chondrichthyes, Myliobatiformes, Myliobatidae. The transcript has 3 exons.
CACAGGGUUGCAGCGCGGGUGAAAUGUGUCUGGCCUGAGGUGAUCGAUCAAAUCUGCCCGCUGGUGCAGCGGGUUUGUCUGGGAUGGGGAAGAGCGCGAGUGGCGUCAGGAUGAUAGUCGCAGGAGCUGUAACAGGAGGAUCAAAGCGAAGGAUGUGAUUCUGGAACUGUAGGAGUCUGUGAUUUGCUGUUUGGAGAUCGUUUGGGUGUCCCAGCACUCUGCAGUGUCCGAGAGGAUUCACGGUGGGCAGGCUGCAGUACGGGGAUUAAAGCUUCCAUUGUUCACUGAUUAGAGCGAUGAGGGAGAUUGAAGCAUCGAGGUGACUGCAGAAGGUGGGUCUCAUCACAGCUGCAAGAAUUAUAUUGCAAAACUGGAAAAAACCCAGAUGUCCCAGAGGAAAUGAUUAAUAUUUCAUCAUAUGAACACAUGUUGGGAAGAAUUAACAGUGAUGGAAAAGUGCAAGACGUGUGGGAUCAAUUUUGGUUGUAUGUUCAUUUAAACUUAAAUUAGAACUUCUUUCUGUUUCUACGUUUGUAAGUUUUACUUGUGUCCCUGUCAUGGGAUGGCUGUGUAAAUAUGCUGUACUCUAUCUGUGCUAUCACAUGCUGUGCUGCUUUGUAAAAUAAGAAUAAAUAAUAAUAAAAAUUUGAAUUACAAAAAAAAAAUGCCCGCAGGGGCAAAGUGAUAACGGUGUUUAAGGUUAGCUAUUCCUCACUCUUCGAGUGGGUUUUGCAGCCCCGGGAGGAGGAAGGGACCAGACCCCUUCACCAGUGGGCUCUGAUCACAGAGAUGUAUCAUGACAGCAGCAUCUUACCAGAGGGUCACAGGUUAACCUCGAACAUGGUGCGGUAUUUAGUUAGAGCAGCAGCUCCCCAUUUAAAGGGAGUAGUGCUCCCCUCAGUGGGACCAGCAAUAGUCUGUAAUGUGUUUGUUAAAUCUAUAUUGGAAGGGUGUUUGAAUUAAUCCAAGAGUAAGAUUUUGUUACUUGAU